GACGAACGCUGGCGGCGUGCUUAACACAUGCAAGUCGAACGGUGAAGCGCCUUCCUUUUUGGUGGGUGUGGAUGAGUGGCGAACGGGUGAGUAACACGUGAGUAACCUGCCCCCUUCUUCUGGAUAACCGCAUGAAAGUGUGGCUAAUACGGGAUAUUCUGGGUCUGUCGCAUGAUGGGUCUGGGAAAGAUAUUGUUUCGGUGGGGGAUGGGCUCGCGGCCUAUCAGCUUGUUGGUGGGGUGAUGGCCUACCAAGGCGGUGACGGGUAGCCGGCCUGAGAGGGUGGACGGUCACACUGGGACUGAGACACGGCCCAGACUCCUACGGGAGGCAGCAGUGGGGAAUAUUGCACAAUGGGCGCAAGCCUGAUGCAGCGACGCCGCGUGAGGGAUGGAGGCCUUCGGGUUGUGAACCUCUUUCGCCAGUGAAGCAGGCCUGCCUGGUUUGUGGGUGGGUUGACGGUAGCUGGAGAAGAAGCGCCGGCUAACUACGUG
Molecule: ribosomal RNA, 494 nt
Filed under: uncultured bacterium
Lineage: Bacteria
Description: partial 16S ribosomal RNA
Rfam family: Bacterial small subunit ribosomal RNA
Source: RNAcentral